GACAUAGGUGGCAAACGUUAUCCGGAAUCACUGGGCGUAAAGGGUGCGUAGGCGGCCGCGCAAGUCUGGCGUGAAAGCCCCGGGCUCAGCCCGGGAAGGGCGCUCGAAACGGCGCGGCUCGAGUGCCGGAGGGGAGAGUGGAAUUCCUGGUGUAGCGGUGAAAUGCGUAGAUAUCAGGAGGAAUACCGGUGGCGAAAGCGACUCUCUGGACGGCAACUGACGCUGAGGCACGAAAGCGUGGGGAGCAAACAGG
RNAcentral lists this ribosomal RNA (253 nucleotides) under uncultured bacterium. RNAcentral's name for it is "partial 16S ribosomal RNA". It matches the Rfam family "Bacterial small subunit ribosomal RNA", at positions 524 to 776 of the family's 1533-position model. The record is from RNAcentral.